This is a long non-coding RNA of Fukomys damarensis (Damara mole-rat), 389 nucleotides long. RefSeq lists it as uncharacterized. Lineage: Eukaryota; Metazoa; Chordata; Mammalia; Rodentia; Bathyergidae. The record is from RefSeq and is a predicted model, not a curated record. The transcript is spliced from 3 exons.
ACUGCGGCUGCCGACAGGCUUCCUCGGCCAUGGUCACAGGGUGAUCUUCCUAAAUUAGCAUCUUGCAGAGUCUUCGGGCUCCUGCUCAACACCCUCACAGGCUUCCAGAUACCGUUAGACUGUUCCACGAAGUUUGUCUAGUGACUUAGUCCUCCAAAGUCACUUUCUGAACAGACUGCAGUUUGGGGUCACUGUGUGCCCUGUGGCCCCCUACCUGAUGUCCCCUUCCUGACUGCAAAGUCUUUUUGGAGACUGUGGGGAGACCACGGCUUUCUCAGCUCCAGAUCUCAGUGCAAUGGAUGAUGACCACGAUGGUGCUGCACUAAAGCAAUGGCAGAAUGAGACAGAGAUCAAAAUAUCCCUGCCUGCUGGAAAGGAAUGGAGGACAA